AGAAAGCGCUGCUCUGAAUGUAUCUAUGUAGUCAAACGCCUUUUUAACAAAGUGCUCGCACCUUCAAAAUCCUUCGCUAUGCAGGUCACUUUGUUUUAAAGGUUGCGCAGCUCACUGCUAAGCACUUUCAACAAAAGAAAAUCUUUAACAAGAAUUCAAGAGACACUUAAUGAAAUAGACCGCUAAAUUUUCUCUGCAAAAUAUCCCUGACAGCACGUUCUACUGUAGCCACCCUAUGCUCCAUUGAGGUUCCCAGCUUGCUCUCCAACCAAAUGCAGGAACCAUGCAAAGCAAAGCCCCUGAUUGUCUAGUGCCCCUAAGCCUCCCUUGCUGCAAAAUUUUUGGUCGCCUUCGUUGACAUUCGCGGCCUAUCCAUGCAUUCGUCAGCCGUUGAUCCAUCACAACAAGUAGCAUACGAGGUGAGUGAAUCCUGGAGCAGGGCAACAGAACUAGUAAUAUCAGCACGCUCUUCAAAUACACUGCUGUUAGCGCUAGCGCACAGCUUACCCUGGUGACAUCUUCGCGGGGCAGUGGCGGCACUGGUGCGGAAUUCGUUUUAUAAACGUAAAUCAGCCGCCAGGGACGCAUAAGUUUCUUUGUUUUACAGGCAAAUUAAUUGUGGUCUUCAUUGUAGAGCUGUUCAACUGUAAUCUAGUGCUUAUGCUGACGCUACUUGCUGCAUGCAGCGGUUCGUUUUCCUCACAUGAUAGUGUGCGACGCUGUUGUAUCUCAGCUUUCGGACUUUAAAACCAGCAAGCAUCUAAAAUGUGCUGCAUAAUAGACAGGUUUAGUUUAGCGUACGCUAUAAAAUAGUGGGUCAUCACUGCGCAUGCGCAGAACGCUAAACGACCCAUUGCGUAUAGCGUACGCGCACUAUUUCUCAGAUUUAGCAUUAGUGUCUUUGCGUGGCUUGCGGAAUUUGCGUGAAACAUGGCGGCGGCCUCGGCUGCCAGCUUCGAAUUGAAUUUGGCGUUGCUUUUGUAAAAUGGACUUCGUUCUUUGCAACUGACUGUGUAAAUGAUAACCUUGUAAAUGAUAACUGUGAUAACCUUGUGGUGUUUUCGAGAUCGCUUCUCGUUUCGAGUGAGUUGAAACCUAACGAAAGAAACAUCCGACAUGUUAGCACCACCUAUAGCUACAGUCGGGAGAUAGCCGCAAUGACGGCACAUGGCCUCUAAGAUCUGAACAUCUCACAGGCCAACUCAACCUAAAGAAAUGUGCUGCUUAGCAUACGCUAUAUAUACUUUAGCGUAUAGCAUACGCUAUAGUUGCGUAUGCUAAAUUAAAACUGUAAUGUCAGACCCAUAAGUUAGCUUCAUCCCAAUACAGUGGUGUUACGCAUUCAACCAUGCACUUAGCAUUGUGAUGAAGUAUACCAACAGUGGGAAGGGGUCACAAACACUGGACAUAGCAAGGUUACGCAGUCAAGCAUACCAUAGCGCUGAAGCAUACUGAAAGUGGAAAAAGAUAAAAUUACAUGCAGAGUAUCCUGUGGGAGUUAUCUAAAUGAUGCAUAAGCAUUUGCGACUGAUCACCUACUGUUUUGUCGUCAUAUGCUGCUGCGUUUCAUAUAAUUGCGAGAAACGCCACGAAAAAAAUCAUGAAAUGGAGAAGCGCAUUUGCAACACCAAAAUUUUAAACUGAGACCAGCAUGAGUAUGAAGCAGAGGCCAGUAGUAGCACUGUUCACUCCUUUUAUAUCAUGGUGCAUUUGGAUGAUGUUGCUGCUUCAUGGAAGAUGAGCAUUGGCCAAUGCAUGCUGUUCUACGUGACGUAAUUGAACAGUGUCACGUUAGGUAGACGUCAUACGUAGAUGUGGUCAAUGAUGCUGCCUCCUCUCGAUGCAAACCAUUAUCAACUGUACAUCAGCGGCCGCUGCUUAUGGCAUGGCUGCGCAGGCCCGAUCUUACAAUUCGCUCGCUCAUGCGGGCCUUAUCUUGAAAGCAAUCAUCUUACGUGACGGACGGGUUUCCUCAUUGGGUAAGCAUAGAAACCUUUACGCAUUUUGUUUUAAAGUGAAGCUUUCUUUGUCUCUUCCUUUGACUUUCCCACUCCAGCUGCUGCUGUGGACUGCUGCUGAUGUCACACACACCACGUCGGGGGGGAGGGGGGGUGUUCAGAGUGUGUAUAUACAUGACAGGCACAAGUAAGAGAGGAAAGGAGAUGGGAGAAGCUUGUUUUCACCCCACCGCAUCGAAUGUGCACAAUGCCCUCUGGAGCUCCCUGGCCGUUGUCACAUUAGCCACCUGACAGCUGCAAUUAUCCGUGACUCCCCUCAGAAGCACUGAAGAAACUGCAGCGCUUAUGUGUGAGGCGAGAGGGGACACAGAUAGAACUGUAGAGAGAAGAAGAGGGAGGAGAAGUGGCAGUUCCCAUAUAAGAUGGGGGAAGUGACAUGAGAAGGCAAGGAAACUCCACUAACAUACAACAGCAGUUGCGGUGUGCUUAUGUUCAAGGCACAAUACAAUACGUUGCUGCUAUUUCUGAAAAAAUAAACACAAUGAAAAUAUGUCAAGCGGGCAAUUCACACAGGGCGUGCAGAAGCAGAGCCGCAUUAAUUAAAGCACACUGCAGCGUCCAGGAAACACUACAGAAGUGGUUGACCGUCAAAUCAACACUUCUGUGCCCGCUGCAUUAGCUCUGCUGCUAUGGCAUUGCGAGAGGUCAUGGAUUUGAUCCCAAUCGCGGGAGCCACAUUUCGACGGGGGCGAAAUAGAAAACCCAUGUGCACUUAGAUUUUGGGACACAUAAAAGAACAUCACGGUGUCAAAAUUAAUCUGGAGUCUGCCACUAUGCCGUGCUUCAUAAUCUGAGUGUCGUUCUGGCACGUACAGCCCCAUAAUCCAAUUCAAGUUUAAAACUUCUGCCAUAACGCGAUGUGCCAUAUGAGGAAAUGACAACACUCAACCCUCUCGGGUUAUAAGAUAUGGCCCACAACAAUGCCUCAUGCAAACACCUCUCCCUGUGUGUUCCGCCUAUUACGCAGACAAACAGCAGUGGUGCCCACAAGGUAACGUUUAACAUCAAUUCGCCAAUCUCGUGUUAGCCUAAACGUUGAAGAAAUUAAGCUUUAGCCGUCAACACUGCUAAUUAUCGUCAAUCAGAGCAUCCAGCAUGGAGAGCUUCACUUACAUCAAUUCCCACAGGGUGUGGGAUCUGCAUAAUUUUUCCCUUAUUCCUAAUUUUUGUGUGCAUAGCAUGAACAGGAAGAUGUUCCAAUGAGCUCAGUUUUGAAAAUAUAGUAAUAUGUGCAAUCUCCGGUUAUGGUAAAAGCACCGAAACCCUUAAGGAGUGUACAGGCAGGGAUUUAGAGCUAUUUCCGGCAGGGUUGUAGUGAUUUGGGCCCUUGCUUCGCCCAUCUUGCAAGCUCCAUAUACGAGACUGCAACACAGCCUUGCACAUGUUCCCGACUAUACAUGCGCACAUGUGCCAUCAUCUGUCACAGUAUGAGCACCGAGACAUCUAAUAACUCACAUGACACCCAUUCAAAGCUGGUUCUGACGUUGCUGCAGUGAUGGACCGCACUACAUUACAGAAGCUCCAGUGCAUAACACAACUGCAUUGCGGUGAAGCUCAGUCUAGGGCAUUGGCAUUGAAACUUGUUUAAGAAAUCACAUUUCCUCAAGCCACAACCAGCAUGCGUAUUUGUGCUCUUAAACUGCACAAGGGCCAUCCAUAUGCCGACAUGUCGGAAUGUUAAGUCAGGUGUAGUUCUGACCAGAAUGCACAUAUUGUUUGGCAUAUCUAGAAAGUGUUCCUAAAGUCACCUCUGCCACAUUACAGUUGAGUUAAGCAGGGAAGCUUAUAGCCCCGUUUACAUGAAUGCGACAGUGGCGCAUCGCAUUUCCCAGCGCAUUUGGGAAAGGCGAUGCGACGCCGUUUACAUGUAGCGCAUUAACUCUCGCGAAAACGCAGCGCCACAAGGUGUCGCAUAAGGGAAGUGCAGCCGACUUCCGGUCUAACUGGUAUAUCCGGUAGUGGGCGGAGUGCACGUUGGUGGCUGAGUGCCGAGAAAUAGACAGUUUUGGUUUAGCGUACGCAACUUAUAGCGUACACUAUACGCUAUAGUGUAGCGUACGCUAAGCAGCGCACGUUUUUUACAGUUUCAGUUGACCAGCGAGAUCUUCGGAUCUCAGAGGCCAUAUGCCGUCGUUGUGGCUAUUUCCCGGCUCUAGAGAUAGGUAGCGCUGACAUCUCGAAUGUUUCUUUCGUUAGGCUUCGACCCGUUCGAAACGAGCUGCGAUCUCGAAAACACUACAAGGUUAGCCAUAAUACUCUGUCGUCGAAGCGGCCUGAGACUAAGCGAAAGCCGUUUACACAAUCAUUUGCUGCGAACGAAGUGCAUUUUACAAAAGCAACGCCAAAUUCAAUUCGAAGCGGGCAGCCGGGACCGCCGCCAUGUUGGUGGCCAAUUCCUUCCCAUCAUUCCUAAUGCGACGAUCCUGCGUUUACAUGCUCCGCGAGAGUCGACUCGCGCCCGUAAAUCUACCCUCGCCUGGCGCACUAAUGCGAUGCGCCUUCCUAGCGCAUUACUGCUGUUUACAUGAAUGUGAUGCGCUAUAAAUGCAAUGCGACGUUGUCGCAUUCAUGUAAACGCGGCUUAUGCAAUGUAUUGCACUGAAGCAUAUUAAAAGCGAAAAAUUGCAAUUUCAUUGCUGUGGUGAUUUAAGCCCCUUGUUUGGGGGGCCAUGACCGUGCCCCUCUGGAGGGCACAAAGGAGCGAGGAAUCAUGGUUGGAGAGCAUGACACAAACCCUGGCGAUGGAGAAACAGCUUUGAUGACCUGCUCUACCGAAACUGCACUGCUUGUUCAGCAGGUGUUAAUCAAGAAGCUAGAAAAAUGAAACCUAGUAGUCCGGAUAUUUAUGGACUACAGCAAGGCUUUUCACAGUCCGCAACACAAGAUUCUAUUAACAGAGUUGACUGCCAAUGGUGUACAUGGAAUGACAUAUUUUGUUGUGUUCGUAUCUGCUUGAUUGCAGGCAAUGCGUUGUCAUUGGAAAUAGUAUUUCCUCGGACGGCAAUAUUGUUAGGUGUCCCACAGGGCAGCAUUUUAGGUCCCCUUCGACAUUUACGUUAAUGACAUGAUAGACAUACGGGGGAGUCCCCUUGGCGUGCAAAAAGCGAAUUGCGGAACAAAUCUCGUACUUGGCGCGAUCAACAAUGGGAACCUCCAUAUCGGACGGCUGCUGAGCCAAGAAUGAGCGGUGCAGCGAAGCAAAGUGCGGCUGGGGGGAAUGGAGAGUGGGGGAACAGCCGCCUGCAUGAGUGUUGCCGGAUUUCACCUCGCACCUUCCCGUGCAGCUGGAGCUCUUUGGGAACCUUAUUGCUCGAUGAACCCUUGCAGAAAGCGAGGCAACAACCAUUCUAUAUGUGGAUGAUACCAGCCUGUUUGUCUCUGGUCUGGAGGCUUGCGAUGUCAUUCCUAAAGCGAACGCACUCCUUUCCACUUCAUUGGGAUGGUCCAGCCACAACGGCCUUAAAAAUAUUAUUUCUUUCCAGAACAGUUGAAAUUACAAAUUUACCAGGCACUAUUUGCGUCUCAUAUUAACUACUGCAUGCAUGUGUGGGGCACCACUGUGAACACUAACACAAGCUUUUUCUUCAGAAACGUGCACGUCGGAAUUAUUGCUAACGUUCCAUACCUCCACACAACAUCACCACUUUUCACCAAAUUUAACGCGAUUUCAAACUGCCAGAUCUGUAUGGCUUUCCUUUACUCUAUUCAUAUUUUUUUCCUCUAACAAAGUCUCUUCACUUGUACAAUCACUGUCGGGACUACAGCCAGGAUAGAUGGCUCGUGCCAAAAACGCUAACAAUUUAUCUAAUGCAAUCGCUAACCUGUAAUGUUCCUUUACUUCUUAAUAAGUAUGAAAACCAAGGCAUUAUUAAUGUUCAUGUAUUUAUCCGGAAAGAAACGCGAAAUAUUUUUUGGUCUACAAUCAUUCAUUACAUGAUGCCUGCGCGUGGGAACAAAUGUAUGGAUAUCCAUAACUGGGAGUUACUAAUGCGCUGUUCUUUCUCUCUCUCUCUCUCUCUCUAUAAUAUAUAUAUAUAUAUACAUAUAUAUUUUGAUGGGCUCAGACACUGAACCAGUGUUUACAGUCCUCUUCUCUGAAGAAGGACAAGAAGCCCCCGGAAAGGCUGGUGAUGGUCAUCGGAGACGUUGAUCUUCCCAACGAUGUCAGGCAUGUGUUGAACAAAGGUCCGAAAUUCAGCCACGAGCCACGGAUAGAAGCACAUGAGUUCCUAGCGCUUAAUAGGCGCAUAGCAGGAAAGGCGUUGGAAGAAAACCGUGAAAGAUGCCUUCUGGAUGGUGUGGAUACGCUUAUAAGAUCUACGACCAGCACUAACACGUUGACUAGCAAAGAUUCUAUGGGAAAAGUCGUGUCGUAUUUCAGGAAGAAUAGACUCCGGCUUCUUCAAGCUGACAAGGAUGGUGGGUUUGUGGUGCUCACCGAGGAAGAGAUUCAAAAAAGAGCCGGCGAAGCAAUUGCAAAGAACUUCAUCCCUCUGAAAGCUAGUGCGACGCGAGUGAGAGGCAAGGCGGCUGCGAUGUGCAAAGAAUUAGAUCUGAGCACGCUGGCCAAUGACAUUGGUAACAGCAAAAGCAAUGCCCUUUCCAUGUUCUUUACGGCCAAAACGCACAAACUGUCCGUGCCAUUCAGAACAGCGGUCAGCGAAAAUGGAACUUGGCUGAUUGUGUUAAGCAAGUUUCUUCAAAAGCACCUUGCAUCCCUUAAAGUUCAAGAUCCGUACGCCACAAAGAGUUCAAAAGAUGUUGUUAGGUUUCUUGAGGGAUGUACUUCCAAUGGUUAUGUGUUUUCAGUAGAUGUUGAAGACUUGUUUUACUCUGUGCCCCACGAUGCCUUAUUUCGUUCUGUCAGAGAUGCUAUGGAAAGUAACGGUGCAGUAGAGUUCCAAAACUCCUCUGGCGUGUCAAUAUAUAAUUUUAUGAAAAUGCUAGAAUUUUACCUUGAUGUGACGUUAAUCUCUUUCGAGAACAAGUUUUAUCGACAAAGACAAGGGAUUUGUAUUGGAUCCUGCGUAGCCCCGGUGCUUACUAACAUUUUCUUAACCUGUAUUGACAGCGCCUUGGAGCCAAUUUUAACAUGGUGCUUGUCCUGUGUCGUUCUCCCCACUUGUGAACGUCUUCGUUGGCGCUGUUCCUUCCUAAAUCAAGUAUGCACCAUCUAGCCCAAAUGAAUGUUGUCCUGAACUUCUAGACUCGUUGAUUUUUUCAUCGCCGCGUCUAGCCAUAACCACUAUGGUCUAGCCCCAGGGAGCCCAAACAGAGGAAACGAAGGUAGAAAUGAACGAUAAAGGUAAUCUAAAAUGACGCAGGAACUAGGCAGCCACCGUACCUGCGGUUAAUCAAACAUUCAAAUUUUGACACUUCACGUGCCAAAGUCGAAAACUGAUAAUGAGGCACACCGUAGCGGUGAACUGCGGAUUAAUUUUCACCGCGCGGGAUUCGUUAACAUGUAUUCAACGUACGGUACACGGGCAUUGCAUUUUUACUUCGUCGAACCCCGUCGAAAUGCGGCCUCCACGACCGAGAUGUGAUCCCACAACCUCACUUUCGCAGCGCAACGCCAAAACCACUAAUACAACAUGGUGGGUCUAGAAGCCAUCAGGACAGUUUCAGUUGGCUGGACCAAUAAACCAUAUUGCUUUUCACAAAAUCCCGCAAAAGUUGCGGAGUCCAACAUGACGGUCUAAUGUGAGGAGUUUAUUUUAAACUUGUUUCAAUGCCAGGGCAGAAUACUCAGACUUCGCCAACGUUACAUCGCGAUUGCAUCUUUUGUCAGAAUAGUAGAUGCUUUCGAAUUGCUACAGGCGCGCUCGUGCAGCCCACGCAGUUCGUGCGUGGUUGCGGGCCGGAGGAGAGAGAUAUGCACAAGAGAGGAUAUCUGCCACGCCUUCCGACGUCACUCAUGCUUCGCAAAGAGUGACGUCAGCAUCUCUCAGCCUUUUCUUUCCUCCAUGGUCAGAGCACCCGCAGAUAUAAAAGGCCCGCUUGCACGCACUGAGCAUAGUUACGUAAUCGGUUUUUAGGAAACACCAUGCUUCUCUUCGCGGUCUCGCAAUGGCGAAAGUUGCUUCCUUUGAAUGUCAGUACUGCGACCGGCGGUUAGCGAACAAUCGCAGUCUGCAGAGGCACAUAAAACUUGUGCACAAAAUCACUCACCUGAAGUACAACUGCGACGAGUGUGAAGUAGCCCUGACUUUGAAAGAACUGGAGUACCGCCAUAUCAGCGUGCAUUUCUUCGAGCCGGAAUAUGAGAGGUAUCACUUUCUGACAAUGCCAGCUUUCAAGUCAUAGAAGGAAAAGGUGGAGAAAGACACACGCAGUCGCUUCAUUGCAAGGACAGGUACAGAGACUUGCGGCCACCUGAAAAAGAAGCAUUUCUACUUCGUCUGUCACCGGUCUGGAAGUUAUGCUUCACAAGCUACAAGUAAACAAAAGCUGAAGCGGCCUUCAAGUGUCAAGUGUGGAAAAAGAUGUUUUGCGGCAAUGGCUGUGACUGAAGACAACACAGGGCACUAAACUUCAGUAAAAAAAAUUUUAUGAGCCGCACAUUCUAGCAGACAAAAUAAACUGCAAGUACAUUGCUGGAGAAAAAGAAUGUCUCAUGUUGGUCUUGCAUAUAUAAGUUACACUGUUCUACAAUACGCUUGGACGAAAAUGAAAAGAAAAUGGUGGCACCUAUGGUUUGGAAAAUAUGACAAGCUGCGAGAAGGCGUGUCCAUGGAUGCAGUACUGGAUAAUGUGCGGUCCAACGUGGAUGAGACAUUCCACCGCAUUAACCUGUUAAGCAAGCAGGAUCUCCGCAAAAUAAUGAGGGAUGCCAGAGUCUCGAAGACCGAGCGGCUGCACGAUAAUGACUAUGUGAGCAUGCAACUCUGGGUUGAGAGGAUGCAUAGUGAAAAGGAAAACCCAUUGCUCUUCAUUAAACACCAAGGACAACCCGACAAAAAGUGACAUUUUCUUAGAGAAAAAAAAUGAGGACCUUUUGGAUGACAGAGAUCUUAUGCUAGUCAUCAUGACCACACCACAACAGGAGCUUUUCAAGAGGCUUGAAACUGAUCGUAUAUGUGUCGAUGGAACACAUGGAACAGCAGGUGAGCAGUACUAUAUAAAUGCAUUAAUAAUAAAAGCAAGAAAGAGGGAAUGCUGUCCGAGAAUAAUUGCAAUAGAUAUGAUGAGUAGUAUUCCUUCACACAUGAUAUUUCUCUUAAUUUUUCA
Non-coding RNA from Dermacentor andersoni, 9248 nucleotides. NCBI's taxonomy places the organism in Eukaryota, Metazoa, Arthropoda, Arachnida, Ixodida, Ixodidae. The record is from RefSeq and is a predicted model, not a curated record.